Molecule: ribosomal RNA, 526 nt
Filed under: uncultured bacterium
Lineage: Bacteria
Description: bacterial SSU rRNA
Rfam family: Bacterial small subunit ribosomal RNA
Source: RNAcentral
AAUAGAUACCCCGGUAGUCCACGCCGUAAACGAUGAGUGCUAGGUGUUAGGGGGUCCAACCCUUAGUGCCGAAGUUAACACAUUAAGCACUCCGCCUGGGGAGUACGGCCGCAAGGCUGAAACUCAAAGGAAUUGACGGGGGGCCCGCACAAGCGGUGGAGCAUGUGGUCUAAUUCGAAGCAACGCGAAGAACCUUACCAGGUCUUGACAUCCCUCUGACCUCUCUAGAGAUAGAGAUUCCCCUUCGGGGGCAGAGGUGACAGGUGGUGCAUGGUUGUCGUCAGCUCGUGUCGUGAGAUGUUGGGUUAAGUCCCGCAACGAGCGCAACCCUUGAGAUUAGUUGCCAGCAUUCAGUUGGGCACUCUAAUCUGACCGCCGCAGACAAUGCGGAGGAAGUGGGGAUGACGUCAAAUCAUCAUGCCCCUUAUGACCUGGGCUACACACGUGCUACAAUGGAUGGUACAAAGGGUUGCGAAGCCGUGAGGUGAGCCAAUCCCAUAAAGCCAUUCUCAGUUCGGAUUGUAGG